This 390-nucleotide ribosomal RNA is filed under the name uncultured archaeon. RNAcentral's name for it is "bacterial SSU rRNA". It matches the Rfam family "Archaeal small subunit ribosomal RNA", at positions 355 to 747 of the family's 1478-position model. The record is from RNAcentral.
AUAGGCGAAAGCCUGACAGGGUUACUCUGAGUGAUUUCCGCUAAGGAAGUCUUUUGGCACCUCUAAAAAUGGUGCAGAAUAAGGGGUGGGCAAGUCUGGUGUCAGCCGCCGCGGUAAUACCAGCACCCCGAGUGGUCGGGACGAUUAUUGGGCCUAAAGCAUCCGUAGCCGGUCCUACAAGUCUUCCGUUAAAUCCAGCUGCUUAACAGAUGGGCCGCGGGAGAUACUACAGGGCUAGGAGGCGGGAGAGGCAAGCGGUACUUUAUGGGUAGGGGUAAAAUCCGCUGAUCCAUAGAAGACCACCAGUGGCGAAGGCGGCUUGCCAGAACGCGCUCGACGGUGAGGGAUGAAAGCUGGGGGAGCAAACCGGAUUAGAUACCCGGGUAGUCC